CUAGAUAGAUGAUAGAUAGAUAAAUAGAGGUCUUUUGUGUUGAUUUUUCUGAAUUCUUUGGGUAAUAAGGUGUGUGGGUUGAGGUAGGAUCUGGCUUUGAACUUGGGGCCAUUUUGCCUCAACCUCUCCAGCAGCUGUAUGUGCCGGCCACAUGUAUAGCUUUCAGGUUUAUUCUGUGGGGAGUCGUAACAUAUAACUAUUGUUCAUUCACAAUUUUCUAAAUUUCGCCUCGUCUGUUUGGAAAUAGUAGGCGAGAGUUUCCUGCUCCCUUUCCCCCACGUUGCCUGGCUGCGCACACUUGACCUGCCUUUGUUGUGCGAAAAUUGUUAUUUUCUCACAGUGUUGCAUGAGAUUUGACUCCCAUGCCGCUCCGUUUCUUGCGCUUAAUUGAGUUUUCCUGCGCUGUUAUGGAGACAGUCAGGCUGGGUUAACCUCCUGGGCUUCCCUUUCACAGAGUUCUGCUUCUGAUGUCUCCAGCUUCACACCCUUCUCCUCUUCCGCUCUGGUGGGCGCAUCUUGUAUUCCGUUCCUUCUGCUUCUGUCCUAUGAGAUUCUGUUCUCCCCUCAGGGGUGGCCUCAGCAGAGGGCGUAGGAUCACUAGGGAAACGAAGGAACUAGAUCUUAGUGUGAGCCCCUCUCGUGCACGCAGUGGUCCCCUGCUCUCUCCUGGCAACUGGCAGCUGAAGAUUCUUCCAGUGUGAUUGGAUGCGUUCAUGUUGGCCCGCUUUGCCAUACCAUGAGCCUUUGUUGGUGGUCUUGUGGGAAGCUUAGGAGGUGGGAGGCUAACUGGAGGAAGCAAGUUAGUAGGGGUGUGCGCUUGGGACUGUAUCUCGUCUCGGACUCCUCCCUGUCUCUUUCUGCUUCCUGCAGUCCAUAAGGUGAGCUCUGUUCCGCCAUGAUGCUCCACCCACCAUGAACUUCAUGUCAACAGAGUCGAGGCUUCUGGACUAUAUCUCUGAAAUCAGGAGCAGGGCAAGCCUUUCCUUCAGUUGUUUGAGACAGGUAUGUUGUCACAGUGAUGGGGUAUAACCGGAAUCGUCAGGUUCCCUGAAGGUGCAUCGUGAGAUAGGGAGAGUGGAAGAGAGCAGGGAGAAGACAUUGCCAAGCAAUGGCCCCGGAAUGCCCUUUACAACGUCCCCAGCCUAUGCAUCUCUCUGAUUUGGCCAUCGAUGGAAAGUCAGCCCUUUCUCUCCUUUGCUCCCAGGUUCAGGAAAUACCACCCAGGUGUGCCUCUUGAACUCCUGCUAAGGUUCUACUACUCUGUCUCAGCCCACAAAACAGGAAGUACAUCAGGUUCUUUGAGCCUUCUUCUCUUGGUUUGAGGGGAGCCAACGCCCCCUCUUGUAGUUGGACGUGGGAGAGCAAAGCCCCGGCAAAAAUGCAUCGUGACGUUUUCAUUAUAUCCUUUAAAACAUACACCUUGUUUAUUUAUUGGGGAUUUAUUUAUUUAUUACUUACGUGUGUAUGUGAUAUGUUCAUGGGUAAGAAUGUGUGUGUGUGUGUGUGUGUGUGUGUGUGUUUGAGUGCACACGUGGCAGCCACACACUAACUUCAGACAUUUCCUCAGUAGCCAUCCAUCUUAAUUUUUGAGGUGGGCCUCUCACUGGGAUCUGGGGCGUAUCAAUAUGGUUAGGCCUAUUAGGCACUGAGCCCUAAAGAUCCCUCCUGCCUCCAUCUCCCAGUGCUUAGAUUAGAGGUGUGUACCUGCAUAUCUGGCUUUUUAAAAGGCUAAUUCUUAAUUUUAUUUUAUUUUUUUUUGUGGUUCUUUUUUUCGGAGCUGGGGACCGAACCCAGGGCCUUGCGCUUCCUAGGCAAGCGCUCUACCACUGAGCUAAAUCCCCAACCCCUAAUUCUUACUUUUAAUUGUAUGCAUGGUGUGGUGAGUGGUGUGUGCACACACACAGGUACACACAGAUACAUACAAACACAUACACAGGCACACAGACACACACACACACACACACACACACACACACACACACACACACACAUCACAAGUGCAGGUGCUUGCAGAGUCCAGAAGAGGUCAUCCUGAAGCUGUAGUUACAGGCAGUUGUGAGUGGUGUUUGGCGUGGAUGAUGGUGUCCAAAUUUGGGUUCUAGAUAAGAGCAGUAUGCUUUGUUAACCUGUAUUUAUGCAGUGAGCACAAGAGUGGUUAAGGUCUGCCAGUCUAACACCAUGAAGCUUUGGCACGCCCUGGAUGGGUGGUACUGUAGCUAAACUUAAGGAGGUGUUGGCCCAGUUCCAAGAAAUAAGAUUAUUCUAACAUCCUGCUCUUUAAUCAUUCAGGAAACAUUUGCUUAGUGGCUAACUUGUAUAGGAUUAUAUUAAUCUUCUUUUUUUGGGGGUAAAGGAAGCUGGUGAUGAGGGCAUUGUCCUGGAAUUAACACUGCAGGAAAACUCCAGGAACUCAAUCAAGGUCACCUCCCAAGUUGUCUCAUAAGCAAAGCUCAAUGGAAGGAAAAGGAGAUGGUGGCGCUGUUUUGGAAGGUCGGAGAGCCCUGUCAGGUGUGAGGUUUGGCGCAGGAAGUGGCUCACUGCUCAGGAGGGCCUUGGGUUGUUACAGCCUCGACUCACUUCCGGUCUGCUUUGUCUCCAGAUUCCUCUUGCCGCCAUGUUGUUUCUGCCCCACCUGACUGCACCUUCAGACAGAGCGCAAGAAGUGAUAAGGAAGAAGGACCACCUGGGAGUUUCGUGCCUGGGUGUGAGCUGGAACCCAAGUGGACAGCAGUCAUCUCUCAGAGCCGUUCUCGGUUGCCUUCAUCAGUCUCCUGGACAGCCGCGGCCUCCGCAGGACCGUUUUGCAGGUCGGGCCCUCUCUGUUUUUCUGACAAUCAGAUUAUCCUAGCCAGGCUCAGGUGCCGCUUAACCGAGUUAGGUACAGAAUAAUUUAAAGCCUCAGCACUCAGGGUUUGAAAAUCUGCCGGAGGCAUGACAGGCUAAAGGCUGAUCUAUGCUUUAUUUGACUUGGAGGGAA
This is a non-coding RNA of Rattus norvegicus (Norway rat), 2977 nucleotides long. Lineage: Eukaryota; Metazoa; Chordata; Mammalia; Rodentia; Muridae. The record is from RefSeq and is a predicted model, not a curated record.